Molecule: ribosomal RNA, 875 nt
Filed under: uncultured Methanosarcina sp.
Lineage: Archaea; Methanobacteriati; Methanobacteriota; Methanomicrobia; Methanosarcinales; Methanosarcinaceae
Description: bacterial SSU rRNA
Rfam family: Archaeal small subunit ribosomal RNA
Source: RNAcentral
UUCCGGUUGAUCCCGCCGGAGGUUACUGCUAUCGGUGUUCGCCUAAGCCAUGCGAGUCAUAUGUAGCAAUACAUGGCGUACUGCUCAGUAACACGUGGAUAACCUGCCCUUGGGUCCGGCAUAACCCCGGGAAACUGGGGAUAAUUCCGGAUAACGCACAUAUGCUGGAAUGCUUUAUGCGUCAAAUGGAUUCGUCUGCCCAAGGAUGGGUCUGCGGCCUAUCAGGUAGUAGUGGGUGUAAUGUACCUACUAGCCGACAACGGGUACGGGUUGUGAGAGCAAGAGCCCGGAGAUGGAUUCUGAGACAUGAAUCCAGGCCCUACGGGGCGCAGCAGGCGCGAAAACUUUACAAUGCGGGAAACCGUGAUAAGGGGACACCGAGUGUCAGCAUCAUAUGCUGGCUGUCCAGGUGUGUAAAAUACACCUGUUAGCAAGGGCCGGGCAAGACCGGUGCCAGCCGCCGCGGUAACACCGGCGGCCCGAGUGGUGAUCGUGAUUAUUGGGUCUAAAGGGUCCGUAGCCGGUUUGGUCAGUCCUCCGGGAAAUCUGAUAGCUCAACUAUUAGGCUAUCGGGGGAUACUGCCAGGCUUGGAACCGGGAGAGGUAAGAGGUACUACAGGGGUAGGAGUGAAAUCUUGUAAUCCCUGUGGGACCACCUGUGGCGAAGGCGUCUUACCAGAACGGGUUCGACGGUGAGGGACGAAAGCUGGGGGCACGAACCGGAUUAGAUACCCGGGUAGUCCCAGCCGUAAACGAUGCUCGCUAGGUGUCAGGCAUGGCGCGACCGUGUCUGGUGCCGCAGGGAAGCCGUGAAGCGAGCCACCUGGGAAGUACGGCCGCAAGGCUGAAACUUAAAGGAAUUGGCGGGGGAGCAC